RNAcentral lists this ribosomal RNA (433 nucleotides) under uncultured bacterium. RNAcentral describes it as "partial 16S ribosomal RNA". It matches the Rfam family "Bacterial small subunit ribosomal RNA", at positions 29 to 507 of the family's 1533-position model. The record is from RNAcentral.
AACGAACGCUGGCGGCAUGCCUAACACAUGCAAGUCGAACGAGACCUUCGGGUCUAGUGGCGCACGGGUGCGUAACGCGUGGGAACCUGCCCUUAGGUUCGGAAUAACUCCCCGAAAGGGGUGCUAAUACCGGAUAAUGUCUUCGGACCAAAGAUUUAUCGCCCUUGGAUGGGCCCGCGUUGGAUUAGCUAGUUGGUAGGGUAAAAGCCUACCAAGGCGACGAUCCAUAGCUGGUCUGAGAGGAUGAUCAGCCACAAUGGGACUGAGACACGGCCCAGACUCCUACGGGAGGCAGCAGUAGGGAAUAUUGGACAAUGGGCGAAAGCCUGAUCCAGCAAUGCCGCGUGAGUGAUGAAGGCCUUAGGAUUGUAAAGCUCUUUUACCCGGGAUGAUAAUGACAGUACCGGGAGAAUAAGCUCCGGCUAACUCCGUG